AUGAGUCAAAUUAAAAAAAAUAUCAUCAUGAUCUUGAUGAUAAUGAUAUUUAUAAUACAAGUCAAAUGUACCACUCAAUCUCAAAAUUUUAGGUCAAACAAGGGCUCAAUAUUUUUUUGUAAACUAAAGUGUGGCUUUAAGUGUUCCUCCUUCAAAAAAAUUGGUCAUUAUGAUGAUUGCAUGAAAGAUUGUAUUACAAAACACUGCGCUGAUUAUUCGCAUAAGUAA
This is a non-coding RNA of Vicia faba (fava bean), 228 nucleotides long. NCBI's taxonomy places the organism in Eukaryota, Viridiplantae, Streptophyta, Magnoliopsida, Fabales, Fabaceae. The record is from the annotation of a GenBank genome assembly.